This 345-nucleotide long non-coding RNA is filed under the name Pan troglodytes (chimpanzee). RNAcentral's name for it is "long non-coding RNA NONPTRT008181". The record is from RNAcentral. Lineage: Eukaryota; Metazoa; Chordata; Mammalia; Primates; Hominidae.
UAGAUCCUCAGUUUUCUUGGGGAUCUUAGAUGUCUGGGUUCCUGAGAGGUUAGGGAGUGGGGAAGCAGGAUUUGCCAGUCUUCAUGUGACCAGGGACGGCGUAGAGCCUCUCUGGCCUCUUCCAGGUGUUGGACAUGGCCACGGACAGCUUCCUCGCAGGGCUGGUGAGUGUCCUGGAUCCCCCGGAUACCUGGGUUCCCAGCCGCCUGGACCUGCGGCCUGGCGAAAGUGAGGACAUGCUGGAGCUGGUGGCUGAAGUCCGAAUCGGGGACAGAGAUCCCAUCCCUCUGCCUGUGCCCAGCCUGCUGCCCCGUCUCAGGGCCUGGAGGAUGGGCAAAACGGGUA